This 258-nucleotide ribosomal RNA is filed under the name uncultured bacterium. RNAcentral describes it as "partial 16S ribosomal RNA". It matches the Rfam family "Bacterial small subunit ribosomal RNA", at positions 96 to 354 of the family's 1533-position model. The record is from RNAcentral.
UGGCGGACGGGUGAGUAACGCGUGGAAAACCUGCCGUAUACUGGGGGAUAACACUUAGAAAUAGGUGCUAAUACCGCAUAAGCGCACAGCUUCGCAUGAAGCGGUGUGAAAAACUCUGGUGGUAUACGAUGGUUCCGCGUCUGAUUAGCUAGUUGGUGGGGUAAUGGCCUACCAAGGCAACGAUCAGCAGCCGGCCUGAGAGGGUGAACGGCCACAUUGGGACUGAGACACGGCCCAAACUCCUACGGAAGGCAGCAG